This 523-nucleotide ribosomal RNA is filed under the name uncultured bacterium. Its description in RNAcentral is "bacterial SSU rRNA". It matches the Rfam family "Bacterial small subunit ribosomal RNA", at positions 8 to 524 of the family's 1533-position model. The record is from RNAcentral.
AGAGUUUGAUCCUGGCUCAGAUUGAACGCUGGCGGCAUGCCUUACACAUGCAAGUCGAACGGCAGCACGGGUGCUUGCACCUGGUGGCGAGUGGCGAACGGGUGAGUAAUACAUCGGAACGUGCCCAGUCGUGGGGGAUAACGUAGCGAAAGUUACGCUAAUACCGCAUACGAUCUGUGGAUGAAAGCGGGGGACCGUAAGGCCUCGCGCGAUUGGAGCGGCCGAUGUUAGAUUAGGUAGUUGGUGGGGUAAAGGCUCACCAAGCCGACGAUCUAUAGCUGGUCUGAGAGGAUGAUCAGCCACACUGGGACUGAGACACGGCCCAGACUCCUACGGGAGGCAGCAGUGGGGAAUUUUGGACAAUGGGCGCAAGCCUGAUCCAGCCAUUCCGCGUGCAGGACGAAGGCCUUCGGGUUGUAAACUGCUUUUGUACAGAACGAAAAGCCUUGGGUUAAUACCCUGAGGUCAUGACGGUACUGUAAGAAUAAGCACCGGCUAACUACGUGCCAGCAGCCGCGGUAAU